RNAcentral lists this ribosomal RNA (253 nucleotides) under uncultured bacterium. Its description in RNAcentral is "partial 16S ribosomal RNA". It matches the Rfam family "Bacterial small subunit ribosomal RNA", at positions 524 to 776 of the family's 1533-position model. The record is from RNAcentral.
UACGUAGGGUGCAGGCGUUAAUCGGAAUUACUGGGCGUAAAGUGUGCGCAGGCGGCCGAGCAUGUCGAGUGUGAAAGCCCCGGGCUUAACCUGGGAACUGCGCUCGAAACUACUUGGCUGGAGUGUGGCAGAGGAAGGUGGAAUUCCACGUGUAGCGGUGAAAUGCGUAGAGAUGUGGAGGAACACCGAUGGCGAAGGCAGCCUUCUGGGCCAACACUGACGCUCAUGCACGAAAGCGUGGGGAGCAAACAGG